GACGAACGCUGGUGGCGUGCUUAACACAUGCAAGUCGAACGGGAUUUAGUAAACAGAAGCCUCGGUGGAAGAUUACUAAUGAGAGUGGCGAACGGGUGAGUAACGCGUGAGCAACCUGCCUAUGACAGUGGGAUAGCCUCGGGAAACCGGGAUUAAUACCGCAUAAAAUCGUAGAAACACAUGUUUUAACGGUCAAAGAUUUAUCGGUCAUAGAUGGGCUCGCGUCUGAUUAGCUAGUUGGUGAGAUAACAGCCCACCAAGGCGACGAUCAGUAGCCGGUCGGGAGGGGGGGCCGGCCACAUUGGAUAGGGACCACGGUCAAAACUCCUCGGGGGGGGAGGGGGGGGAGAAUUUGCAAAAUGGGGAAAACCCUGAGGAGGCGACGCCGGGGAAAGAAAGAAGGUAUUCGUAUGUGAAAGUCUUGUCUAAAGGGGAGAAAAUGAAAGACCCAGAGAGAAAAACCCCGGCUAAACCCGGG
Molecule: ribosomal RNA, 478 nt
Filed under: uncultured bacterium
Lineage: Bacteria
Description: partial 16S ribosomal RNA
Rfam family: Bacterial small subunit ribosomal RNA
Source: RNAcentral